Molecule: long non-coding RNA, 1048 nt
Filed under: Lactuca sativa (garden lettuce)
Lineage: Eukaryota; Viridiplantae; Streptophyta; Magnoliopsida; Asterales; Asteraceae
Description: long non-coding RNA (LSAT_LNC002720)
Source: RNAcentral
UAAACUUCGACCCAAAUGCUGGCUUGUACUUACUCAUCAAAUCAAAGACAACGAUAUGUUUUAUAACAACCUAGUUACUGGUUGCGUUUACAUAUGUCAAUGUGCAAGCAACUCGCAACUACAACUCACACGUCUCCGUUUGAAGAAUAUAAGAUAUUAUCGUCUCAUGAUCACUCGUGAUAAAAUCCAUGAAGUGAUUCAAAUGAGCGUUGGUUGAAUCCAAUACUCGAAUCUCAUUCCAAGAUCACUCAUGAACACUACAACCACUUUGUCCCAGACAAACUACAGACUCAUUCAUGACAGUCUUGCCUCAAUACCUACUUCCAAAUUAUAAUCGAAUGUGGAUGGUUUGAGUAACUUAGUUAUUCAGGAAGUCAAAACAUGCAAUGUGAAACACAAGAAUAAUCGAAUCCAAUAUGGUCUCAAAACUUAUGAAUAUAAAUAAAACACCUUUUAUUUAAUCACCAUGUUGAUUACACAUUAUUCAUUGCAUAAUGUUUCAAAUAAUGAGCUUAAUACUUGAAUUAAAACAAUAGUUGUCCCAUGCACACUAUGUUUUCUAAAUAAUAGUUAUACCAUACUCUAAGUAUGCACACUAUGUUUGUCUAUGUUUGUCACAGAUAUCGCUUUUAUCACUCCAAAGGUAAAAGAAAUGGAUAAACUUCGACCCAAAUGCUCGCUUGUACUUACUCAUCAAAUCAAACACAACGAUAUGUUUUAUAACAACCAAGUUACUGGUUGCGUUUACAUAUGUCAAUGUGCAAGCAACUCGCAACUACAACUCACACAUCUCUGUUUGAAGAAUAUAAGAUAUUAUCGUCUCAUGAUCACUCGUGAUAAAAUCCAUGAAGUGAUUCAAAUGAGCAUUGGUUGAAUCCAAUACUCGAAUCUCAUUCCAAGAUCACUCGUGAACACUACAACCACUUUGUCCCAGACAAACUACAUACUCAUUCAUGACAGUCUUGCCUCAAUACCUACUUCCAAAUUAUAAUCGACUGUGGAUGGUUUGAAUAACUUAGUUAUUCAGGAAGUCAAAACUUGCAAUGUG